This 87-nucleotide transfer RNA is filed under the name Alistipes sp. RNAcentral describes it as "tRNA-Leu". It matches the Rfam family "tRNA". From Rfam's summary of the family: Transfer RNA (tRNA) molecules are approximately 80 nucleotides in length. RNAcentral also lists the same sequence under 1 other name. The record is from RNAcentral. Lineage: Bacteria; Pseudomonadati; Bacteroidota; Bacteroidia; Bacteroidales; Rikenellaceae.
GCCCGGAUGGCGGAAUCGGUAGACGCGUUGGUCUCAAACACCAAUGAUAGCAAUAUCGUGCCGGUUCGACCCCGGCUCCGGGUACCA